ACCAAACCCAACCUCUGGAAUAUGAAGAUUAAAUUGAAAUGCUAUGUUAAAGUUGUUCAAAUUUGUCUCUCAACCCAUUUACGUGUGGGUUCUGAAUAAACCUGUAUGUAGACACGAAGCUUGGAAGCUUUAACAUAAAUGCUGCUCGCCCCUGCCCUGCAUCUCGACCCGGAUGUCCCCCACUUUGCAUGCUUAAUGCAGAUCAUGGCAAAUGCUCAUCUGUUACUAAUUACAGAGCACGCUGGUGUGGGCCCAGAAAACAGAGUCCGCAGAAGCUAAUAAUGAAAUGCUAAGCUAAAAAUAUGCUUAGCAUUUUCUUCCGAAAAGCCGCACUUUAAAAAAGUAAAGAUAAUUAUCUGAGUUACAUUUUUAUUCUACUUUACUUGUAAGUUUGUGUUAGUGUCAAAAUUAUAGUUGAGGUUAAGCUUUCUUGCAGAGUUACUACCACAAAUUAUCAAUAAAUCACAUUAAAAUGAA
Long non-coding RNA from Scaptodrosophila lebanonensis, 477 nucleotides. RefSeq lists it as uncharacterized. The record is from RefSeq and is a predicted model, not a curated record. Lineage: Eukaryota; Metazoa; Arthropoda; Insecta; Diptera; Drosophilidae. The transcript is spliced from 2 exons.